GACGAACGCUGGCGGCGUGCUUAACACAUGCAAGUCGUACGGUAAGGUCCUUUCGGGGGUACACGAGUGGAGCACGGGUGAGUAACACGCGUGUAACCUGCCCACAACUUUGGGAAAACGCUAGGAAACUGGUGCUAAUACUGGAGAUGUGCUCCUGCUGCAUGGUGGGGGUUGGAAAGCUCCGGCGGUUGUGGAUGGACUUGCGGCCUAUCAGCGUGUUGGUGGGGUAGUGGCCUACCAAGGCGGCGACGCGUAUCAGGCCUGAGAGGGUGACCGGCCACAGUGGGACUGGGACACGGCCAAGACUCCUACGGGAGGCAGCAGUGGGGAAGGUUGCACAAGGGGCGCAAGCCUGAUGCAGCAACGCCGCGUGCGGGAUAACGACCUUCGGGUUGGAAUCCGAUUUCAGCAUGGACGAAGCUUUUUGUGACGGUACCUGCAGAAGAAGCACCGGCUAACUACGUG
This 465-nucleotide ribosomal RNA is filed under the name uncultured bacterium. RNAcentral describes it as "partial 16S ribosomal RNA". It matches the Rfam family "Bacterial small subunit ribosomal RNA", at positions 28 to 507 of the family's 1533-position model. The record is from RNAcentral.